AUAUUAUACUUAUAAGUAUAAGAUGGAGAAAUCCAUUAAAAUUCUAAGUAAAUACUUGAUAAUGACAUAAUUUACUUAAAUGUCUUGACUAAAUCAUGUGCCAGCAGUCGCGGCAAUACAUGGAAGACUAGUGUUAUUCAUCUUAAUUAGGUUUAAAGGGUACCUAGACUGUCAAUUAAACCUAAUUUAUAAAGGUACUUUUUGACUAGAGUUUAAUAUGAGAGGGGUUAAUAGAACGAGUAGAGUAGAGAUAAAAUUCGUUGAUACACUCUGUAGACUGGUAAAGGCGAAGGCAACCUUCUAUGUAAAAACUGACGUUGAGGGACGAAGGCUACGAUUAACGAACAGGAUUAGAUACCCAAGUAAUGAGUGCAGUAAAUGAUGAAUGCCAUAUGUAAGAUUAAUUUUAUGUAUAAAUGAAAGUGUAAGCAUUCCACCUCAAGAGUAAUGUGGCAACGCCGGAACUGAAAUCAUUAGACCGUUUCUGAAAACAGUAGUGAAGUAUGUUGUUUAAUUUGAUAAUCCACGGAAAACCUUACCACAAUUUGAAUAAAAAUAUUCUAUAUAGAAUAUUUUUACAAGCGUUGCACGGACAGGGAUUGCCUCAGUAACGGCGAGUGAAGCGGCAACAGCUCAAAUUUGAAAUCUGACCUCACGGUCCGAGUUGUAAUUUGUAGAGGAUGUUUCGGGUGCGUCUCCGGUCUAAGUUCCUUGGAACAGGGCGUCAUAGAGGGUGAGAAUCCCGUACGUGACUGGUUGACAACCCCAUGUGAAACUCCUUCGACGAGUCGAGUUGUUUGGGAAUGCAGCUCAAAAUGGGUGGUAUAUUUCAUCUAAAGCUAAAUAUUGGCCAGAGACCGAUAGCGCACAAGUAGAGUGAUCGAAAGAUGAAAAGCACUUUGGAAAGAGAGUUAAAAAGUACGUGAAAUUGUUGAAAGGGAAGCGCUUGCAACCAGACUUGCCCGGGGGUGAUCAACCGUCCUUUUGGGCGGUGCACUCUCCCUCGGUCAGGCCAGCAUCGAUUCGGGCGGUAGGACAAAGGUUCCGGGAACGUGGCCCACUUCGGUGGGUGUUAUAGCCCGGGGCGUAAUGCUACCAGCCUGGAUCGAGGACCGCGCUUCGGCUAGGAUGCUGGCGUAAUGGUUGCUAGCGACCCGUCUUGAAACACGGACCAAGGAGUCGACCAACUCUGCGAGUGUUUGGGUGUUAAACCCGUGCGCGUAAUGAAAGUGAACGGAGGUAAGAACCCGCAAGGGCGCAUUAUCGACCGAUCCUGAUGUCUUCGGAUGGAUUUGAGUAAGAGCAAAGUUGGUCGGACCCGAAAGAUGGUGAACUAUGCGUGAAUAGGGUGAAGCCAGAGGAAACUCUGGUGGAGGCUCGCAGCGGUUCUGACGUGCAAAUCGAU
RNAcentral lists this ribosomal RNA (1405 nucleotides) under Sphaeropezia mycoblasti. Its description in RNAcentral is "LSU rRNA". The stretch from base 536 to 1405 matches the Rfam family "Eukaryotic large subunit ribosomal RNA", at positions 1 to 902 of the family's 3401-position model. Lineage: Eukaryota; Fungi; Ascomycota; Lecanoromycetes; Ostropales; Odontotremataceae. The record is from RNAcentral.